Long non-coding RNA from Eleginops maclovinus (Patagonian blennie), 1176 nucleotides. RefSeq lists it as uncharacterized. The transcript has 3 exons. The record is from RefSeq and is a predicted model, not a curated record. Lineage: Eukaryota; Metazoa; Chordata; Actinopteri; Perciformes; Eleginopidae.
GGCUAACACCGAAGGCAACUCUGGUGGUAAGUAGCUAUCCCACUGACUAAUCCUUAAUGUGAUUCCUAGUAAAUUAUGUACCACGCCAUUUCUGGAAAUAAACCCAUUUCCUACCUCUCCUUGGGGUAAUUAAGGGAGUUUAUGUUUCUGGUUAAUCAAGCCGUUCCUUGCUAGCAUGUUUAAUUAGCUUACUUGAUGGCAAGGCAUCCGUAGUUCUAGGGAAGAAUUCUAGCUGUUGCUAUGUAGCUAAUGAAACAUGCUAGUAAGUUGCGCCGCCGAUUCAGGGAGCCAGAGAAAGGUGACGCUCAUUUAUUUAAAUCAAAGGGAGGUGGGAAAUUAGUUUAUUUCCCGAAAUUGUACAGUAUUGCUUUUUCAUCAAACGAAUGCCUUCUUCGUUAGAUUUAGAACAAGAUGAUGACCGGGACGAGACGGGUAGUCUGGCUGACUCAGAGGCUAGCAGCACUUGCUCCCGUUUACCUCUGGCUUCUAUUUUCGUCGAGGCAGGCAGAAAUAAAAUGUCCCAGGCAAAGGUAGAAGAAUGUCACCGGGCAGUUACCAAAUUUGUUGUUAAGGGUUUGCACCCAUUUUCUACAGUAGACGCCCCUGAAUUUCGGUAGGUGAAUGUGAGGUUGUUGUCAGAUUAUCAAAUGUCAGAUUAGAAUAGAAUAGAAUAGAAUAUUUUCCUCCUCAUUAAACAGAUGUUUACACUCAUUCAUUUUCAUAUGUUUUCUAGGGAGAUGACAAAGGUUCUCAAUCCAAAAUACAAAGCCCCCAGCAGGGAAAGCUUAACCAACCACUUAAUCCCUGCUUGGUAUGGUGUGGAAAAGGGAAAUGUGAUCUCUGAACUGAAAACAGUGUCAAAGGCAGCUAUCACGGCUGAUGGGUGGACAAGCUUUUGUCAGGAUCAUUAUCUCACGGUUACUCUGCACUACGUGAGCAAUGGCCAGAGCUGCCCAAGCACAUGCUCCUCCUGGAUGUAAGGACCAGAUGGAAUUCCCUCUAUUUGAUGAUGGAGAGAUUCACCGAGCAGUUCCCUGCUAUCCAGGCUGCAGCCAUAGAUCCACGCAUAAGAAGGCCCAUGGAGAAGGAAAGGUUGGACAGAAUAGGCAACGAGGACUUAAGGAAAGCAGAGGAGUUUGUGCAUCUCAUGCGGAAGCAUUACACCUCCACACUGGC